CACAGGAACAGUUCAAUUGUAAGCUUGAAAUGGUUAACAGAACUAGACAGAUAAUGAGAUUUUAGAGUUGAUAUAAGCUAGAUAUUGUGAUUGUUUAUUGUCAUUAACCAAGACCUUCAUCAAUUGAUAUUGGGAGAAAUUACAGAAAUAGGUGGCUGGCAUUGAGGUGUUUGCUGUAGAAAACAACUGCAUCAACUAAGUCCAAAAUGAAGACACAGAAACUGACAGCUACAUUUUUUACCAUGGUGUUUUUAUGCUGGAAUAUCCAUGGAGUUCCGACCACAACUGCAGUUAACACAACUGAAGCUCCUACGACAACUGCAGCUCCUACGACAACUGCAGCUCCUACGACAACAACUGUAGCUCCUAUAACAAUAACUGCAGCUCCUACUACAACAACUGUAGCUCCUAUGACAAUAACUGUAGCUCCUACUACAACUGUAGCUCUUACAACCACUACAACUGCAGCACCUACUUCAACAACUACAACUGAAGCUCCUACGAUAACCACAACUGCAGCACCUGCUACGACAACUACAACUGAAGCUGCUACGACAACCACAACUUCAGCGCCUACAACGACAACUACAACGACAACUACAACACCUACUACGACAACUACAACACCAACUACGACAACCACAACACCUACUACGACAACCACAGCUGUAUCUCAUACGACAACAUCUGUAGCUCCUAUGACGACUACAACUGCAGCACCUACUUCAACAACCACUGCAGCUCUUACAACCACUACAUAUGCAGUUCCUACAACAACGACAACUGAAGCUCCUACGACAACCACAACCACAGCUCCAAAUACAAUAUCUGUAGCUCCUACGUCCACUACAACAGCAGCACCUACUACAACAACUACAAAUGCAGCUCCUACGACAACCACAACUGCAGCUCCUACUACAACUUUAGAUCCCACGACCAUUACAACAGAAGCACCCACUACGACCACUACAAACGCAGCUCUUACGACAACCGCAACUGAUACUCCUACUACAACUUUAGAUACUACGACCACUACAACAGCAGCACCUACAACGACAACUGUAGCUCCUACGACAACCACAACUGUAGCUCCAAGUACAACUGUAGCUCCUACCACCACAACUACACCACCUACUUCAACAACUACAACUGAAGCUCCUACGAUAACCACAACUGCAGCACCUGCUACGACAACUACAACUGAAGCUGC
RNAcentral lists this long non-coding RNA (1210 nucleotides) under Salmo salar (Atlantic salmon). RNAcentral's name for it is "lncRNA (ENSSSAG00000118618.1)". The record is from RNAcentral. Lineage: Eukaryota; Metazoa; Chordata; Actinopteri; Salmoniformes; Salmonidae.